AUUGAACGCUGGCGGCAGGCCUAACACAUGCAAGUCGAACGGUAACAGGAAGAAGCUUGCUUUUUUGCUGACGAGUGGCGGACGGGUGAGUAAUGUCUGGGAAACUGCCUGAUGGAGGGGGAUAACUACUGGAAACGGUAGCUAAUACCGCAUAACGUCGCAAGACCAAAAAGGGGGACCUUCGGGCCUCUUGCCAUCGGAUGUGCCCAGAUGGGAUUAGCUAGUAGGUGGGGUAACGGCUCACCUAGGCGACGAUCCCUAGCUGGUCUGAGAGGAUGACCAGCCACACUGGAACUGAGACACGGUCCAGACUCCUACGGGAGGCAGCAGUGGGGAAUAUUGCACAAUGGGCGCAAGCCUGAUGCAGACAUGCCGCGUGUAUGAAGAAGGCCUUCGGGUUGUAAAGUACUUUCAGCGGGGAGGAAGGGAGUAAAGUUAAUACCUUUGCUCAUUGACGUUACCCGCAGAAGAAGCACCGGCUAACUCCGUG
Molecule: ribosomal RNA, 490 nt
Filed under: uncultured bacterium
Lineage: Bacteria
Description: partial 16S ribosomal RNA
Rfam family: Bacterial small subunit ribosomal RNA
Source: RNAcentral